AUGCAGUCGAGGGGCAGCAUGAUUGAAGCUUGCUUCAUUGAUGGCGACCGGCGCACGGGUGAGUAACACGUAUCCAACCUUCCGUACACUCAGGGAUAGCCUUUCGAAAGAAAGAUUAAUACCUGAUGGUAUCUUAAGCACACAUGUAAUUAAGAUUAAAGAUUUAUCGGUGUACGAUGGGGAUGCGUUCCAUUAGGUAGUAGGCGGGGUAACGGCCCACCUAGCCUACGAUGGAUAGGGGUUCUGAGAGGAAGGGCCCCCACAUUGGAACUGAGACACGGUCCAAACUCCUACGGGAGGCAGCAGUGAGGAAUAUUGGUCAAUGGACGAGAGUCUGAACCAGCCAAGUAGCGUGAAGGAUGAAGGUCCUACGGAUUGUAAACUUCUUUUAUAAGGGAAUAAAACCUCCCACGUGUGGGAGCUUGUAUGUACCUUAUGAAUAAGCAUCGGCUAACUCCGUGCCAGCAGCCGCGGUAAUACGGAGGAUGCAAGCGUUAUCCGGAUUUAUUGGGUUUAAAGGGAGCGCAGACGGGUCGUUAAGUCAGCUGUGAAAGUUUGGGGCUCAACCUUAAAAUUGCAGUUGAUACUGGCGUCCUUGAGUGCGGUUGAGGUGUGCGGAAUUC
This 623-nucleotide ribosomal RNA is filed under the name uncultured bacterium. Its description in RNAcentral is "bacterial SSU rRNA". It matches the Rfam family "Bacterial small subunit ribosomal RNA", at positions 55 to 669 of the family's 1533-position model. The record is from RNAcentral.